Molecule: ribosomal RNA, 351 nt
Filed under: uncultured Streptococcus sp.
Lineage: Bacteria; Bacillati; Bacillota; Bacilli; Lactobacillales; Streptococcaceae
Description: bacterial SSU rRNA
Rfam family: Bacterial small subunit ribosomal RNA
Source: RNAcentral
GGUGACAGGUGGUGGCAUGGUUGUCGUCAGCUCGUGUCGUGAGAUGUUGGGUUAAGUCCGCAACGAGCGCAACCCCUAUUGUUAGUUGCCAUCAUUCAGUUGGGCACUCUAGCGAGACUGCCGGUAAUAAACCGGAGGAAGGUGGGGAUGACGUCAAAUCAUCAUGCCCCUUAUGACCUGGGCUACACACGUGCUACAAUGGUUGGUACAACGAGUUGCGAGUCGGUGACGGCGAGCUAAUCUCUUAAAGCCAAUCUCAGUUCGGAUUGUAGGCUGCAACUCGCCUACAUGAAGUCGGAAUCGCUAGUAAUCGCGGAUCAGCACGCCGCGGUGAAUACGUUCCCGGGCCUU